AUCAAUGCAGCAAAGUGUAAAGUGGUGACAGAGUUUCAGAUAAAUUCUUCGCAAAAUAUUUGCUGUGCAUCAAUAAUUCUGAUAUUAAUUACUUUACAGUUUAUCUGCAAGUGCUUUGGGAAUAAUACGCAGUUCACUGUCUCAGUAGCCCAACUAACAAGGGGCUCGAAGCGUGGCUCAGAUUAUCUUCUAGACCUGCUCGGUGUUGGCGUACUUCAAGAACAAACAAAUCUGUCCCUGUUCCGUGCAUCACUGUUGCAAAUCUGUUGUCAGAGGUUUGAGAACCAACAGCAAGUGGAAUCAGCUGGAGAUGCUGAGGCAGGAAACUCAGGGAGCUGUACAGCAAGAUCAUCAAAGCAAUUUUAAUGUUUGUGGCUUCUCAAUUACCAGGAAGCUACAGAGGUACGGAGACACAGUGCUGUUAAUUUGGGGAAAUUAUUAGAGGUUGCUUCACGCAAUGAUAUGGACUUCACUUAUUCAAGAGGAGUUAUCUCUAUCCUGAUAAGAAAUGAGAAGAUCAUUGAAUUUCUGCCCAGAUCAGUGUUGUCGCUCUUUGUUGAUGAAGUCUUUGAAAAGGACCUGUCUUCCUCACUGAUCUCACACUGUAAUCUCUUCAUGCUCCCAACCGGUUUGGGUCAGUGAUGGAAUAUAUAAGCCCUCAGGAGCCACAGAGAUGUGUUUGUGUUGUCUGGUGUGGUACCUGCUCUGUUCCUUGGCAGUACCUUGGCAACUGGUGAAUGAUUUUCUAGCGCAUCAAGGUAGAAGAAGCCAGAGAGUUGCACGAAGGCCAGAAGGUAUAUUUUUCUUCCCAGCAGAGGAACCUGUUAGUUGGUAGAUGUCUUUUCCCUGUUGUGAGGAGAAAUGACUACUAUUUCACCAAAUCAAGGGACAAACGAAUCCACAAGUAUUAUUUUCCUUGAAUAGGACUAGAUUUAGUCUUGGACUGACUGUGGCUGCUGAGUCAGUCCGGGUGCAUCUGAAAAUCUCAUAGUAACAUUCAGAAAGAGCUGACGACAGCAGGAGCAUCAUUGCCUCAGCUGGAACUAAAGCUCCAGAAUUUUUGUGGAGAUACCCUGAGGUUUCAACUAGUAAGCACCCUGGUCGCUAGAACUAGCGUUGCCUCCUUCAUCAGACAUCCGAAAGCUGCCCUGUAACCUGUCCAUAUCCUGAAUGAUCCUGAGCCUGCUGAACCUACGAGAAGCACAAGUCGUGGCAGUAAGUGUAUGGCUUUACAUGGCAUUUAUUUCCCAUGUGAAAUUAUGACAGCAUACAGAGAGAAAAAAUUAAUUAGUUUAGCAUUUAAUAAAUGACUGUCUGUACGUACUUUCGAAGAUUUAAAGUGUGAUGGAAGCCCUGCUCAGUGUUAUUUUUAGAGCACCUUAUGUCUGUAGUGUAAUGAAGUUCCAUAAUGACCUUGGUGCUGCCUAUUUAACUCCUAAACUUCGGACGUUUAAAGAGUCGUUUAAUGCAGACUGCUUACCUUCUGCAUGGAAUCAUCAUUUUCAUUUCCAACGCUUACUGAAAUGAAGUAGUCAAAUCUGGUGGAAAAUUGAAGGUUUUAGCUGCUUGCCUGAUCUUGUCCAGUUGUCACUAAAAUUGUGUUACAGAAUCAUCGAGCUGUUGAGGUUGGAAGGGACCUCUUGAGCUCACGUAGCUCAGCCUCCCUGCUCGAGCAGCUAGAGCAGGUUGCCCACUAAUGUGUCCAGUGAGUGACUUCUAUUUUUGAGAACAUUAUUUCUACGAGGUAAUGUGCAGUAGACUUGAUUUUCAUCUAUAGACAUCUCUCAAGUAUUGAGGGCCUGGCGUGGACACAAUUUUGUGUAGG
This is a long non-coding RNA of Cairina moschata (Muscovy duck), 1825 nucleotides long. NCBI's taxonomy places the organism in Eukaryota, Metazoa, Chordata, Aves, Anseriformes, Anatidae. The record is from Ensembl.